This 787-nucleotide long non-coding RNA is filed under the name Felis catus (domestic cat). Its description in RNAcentral is "lncRNA (ENSFCAG00000046040.2)". Lineage: Eukaryota; Metazoa; Chordata; Mammalia; Carnivora; Felidae. The record is from RNAcentral.
AACAUACUUUUAUUAAAUCACAGUGCUAUGAGCCAGAAGUCAGGCACAACUUUUCUGGGUCCUCUCCUCAAGGCCCCAUCAGACUACCGUCAAGGUGUCAGCCAGUCUUUAUGCUCAUCUCUAGCUCCCCAUCCUCUUCCAGGCUCCUUCAAGUUGUUGGCAGAAUCCAGUUCCAUGUGGUUGUGGGACUGAGGUCCAUGUUUUCUUGACGGCUGUAUGCCAGGACAUUUUCAGGCCACCUUCCAGUGACCCUCUCCACAAUAUGGAUGCUCGUUUCUUCAAGGUGAACACAAGAUUCUCUGCAGUUGGCUAAGAUGGAGAUUUCCAUAAUGUAACGUGAUCACAGUUUGAGUCUGCGUGCGAUGAAAAAGAAUAAGAAUACAACUGACAAUGAGGAGGAGGAGCAGAAGCCAUUCCAUGUCCUGGACGUUAGGUCCCAAAAUGGAGCUGAUGGAAGAACGCUUACACUUGGGCAAGGACCUCAACGCCAAGGUCCUUGGGAAAGAAACGUCAGCAGGUUGUAGGGAGAGGACAGGAGUGACAAAGGCAGCAGCCAGCCACCGAGGGCUUCUUCAGGAGCUGUGCCAGCAGGGUGGCCACCCCAAGGCCUCCCAGGGCCCUGCAAUCCUCCCCCCACCCCCACCAGGAGCCGCACUCAGAACCUGGACUGGCCCGGGCUGUCACAAGGCUCUGCAACUCACACCUCAACCAGCUGUCCUUUGAUUUACUGUUUCCAUAUUAAUAACCUUUCUAAGUCUUAUUAGAAAUAAGGUCAGGCAACUUUCCU